Molecule: ribosomal RNA, 528 nt
Filed under: uncultured bacterium
Lineage: Bacteria
Description: bacterial SSU rRNA
Rfam family: Bacterial small subunit ribosomal RNA
Source: RNAcentral
GAUGAACGCUAGCGACAGGCCUAACACAUGCAAGUCGAGGGGCAUCGGGGUGUAGCAAUACGCUGCCGGCGACCGGCGGAUGGGUGAGUAACGCGUGGGUGACCUGCCCGGGAGACUGGGAUAACAGUUCGAAAGGGCUGCUAAUACCGGAUGAUCCCCAGCACUCAACCGAAGGAAUUAGGCUUGGUUUUAGAAGAAGCCUUUCUGUAGGUUUAAUGAGGUUUUUUUCUAGGGUACAGCCUGGUUUUUUGGGUUGAGUGCUGGGGCAAAGCGUUUAGCGCUCCUGGAUGGGCCCGCGUCCCAUUAGCUAGUUGGUGGGGUAAUGGCCUACCAAGGCGGCGAUGGGUAGCCGGUCUGAGAGGAUGGUCGGCCACACUGGGGACUGAGACACGGCCCAGACUCCUACGGGAGGCAGCAGUGGGGAAUUUUGCGCAAUGGGGGCAACCCUGACGCAGCGACGCCGCGUGGGUGAUGAAGGCCUGGUUGUAAGCCUGUGGGGGUAGGAGUAUGACGGUACCCUCGAGGACG